AUUGAACGCUGGCGGCAGGCCUAACACAUGCAAGUCGAGCGGAUGAAGGGAGCUUGCUCCUGGAUUCAGCGGCGGACGGGUGAGUAAUGCCUAGGAAUCUGCCUGGUAGUGGGGGAUAACGUCCGGAAACGGGCGCUAAUACCGCAUACGUCCUGAGGGAGAAAGUGGGGGAUCUUCGGACCUCACGCUAUCAGAUGAGCCUAGGUCGGAUUAGCUAGUUGGUGGGGUAAAAGCCUACCAAGGCGACGAUCCGUAACUGGUCUGAGAGGAUGAUCAGUCACACUGGAACUGAGACACGGUCCAGACUCCUACGGGAGGCAGCAGUGGGGAAUAUUGGACAAUGGGCGAAAGCCUGAUCCAGCCAUGCCGCGUGUGUGAAGAAGGUCUUCGGAUUGUAAAGCACUUUAAGUUGGGAGGAAGGGCAGUAAGUUAAUACCUUGCUGUUUUGACGCUACCAACAGAAUAAGCACCGGCUAACUUCGUG
This 484-nucleotide ribosomal RNA is filed under the name uncultured bacterium. RNAcentral's name for it is "partial 16S ribosomal RNA". It matches the Rfam family "Bacterial small subunit ribosomal RNA", at positions 30 to 507 of the family's 1533-position model. The record is from RNAcentral.